CUCCAAGAAAGGCUUUGGGAAGAAAACAAACUUCAACGUGUGCACGUUCUCAUUAGGAGCAGGCAGGAGGAGAGCUCCCAUCCCAGCUGGAUGAGAUCCAGGGAUCCCAGGGAUGGAGAGGGUGGAAAUGGGCCUGCAGCCAGAAGAACUUGAGAGAUUUCUGACAAGUCUGAAGGGAAGAGUGAUGGUAGGAAAGGAGCUGCACAUCCUUGAGUGCCUCAGAAGUACUUCCAAAAGCUCCCAGAGUCAUUUCCACCCCAACCCAGAGAUUUCCAAGGAUCCCAUCCAAAACUCAGCAGGAUCAAGCUUUGUUCCUGCCCUUCCUGGUGCAAGGAACAUGAUCAGGGUCAGAGAUGCUCCAGCCACACACAGGCAGAAACACAAGGCCCUCUGGAGUCAGUGGGAACUUUGCCACUGGAAGUCGAGAGUUUUAGGAAGCCAAUCGAGCAGAAAACCCCAGAUCUAAAUGGCUCAACG
Molecule: long non-coding RNA, 477 nt
Filed under: Serinus canaria (Common canary)
Lineage: Eukaryota; Metazoa; Chordata; Aves; Passeriformes; Fringillidae
Description: lncRNA (ENSSCAG00000014714.1)
Source: RNAcentral